This 437-nucleotide unclassified non-coding RNA is filed under the name Hevea brasiliensis (rubber tree). The record is from RNAcentral. Lineage: Eukaryota; Viridiplantae; Streptophyta; Magnoliopsida; Malpighiales; Euphorbiaceae.
AAUUGAUUAGUGAAUUGUCCAUGUUCCACUGUUCGUUUGUUCCUUGAUUUUGUUCAGGCACAUGCUCUGAUUACUGUGCACAACGCAUUCUGGUGUUAAUGCACCAGAGUUGGGAAUUCCUGGCCCUAGCAACGAGCUAAGCUUGUCUUUAGUUCAUGCAGCAUAACUUCCUUUUUUUGUCUUCCAUUAGAAAGUUUUGUGACAUUGUGAUACAGCAAAUCUAUUGUCGGAGAAAUAAAAACUUUAAACGUGCUACAGGGUAAAUUGCUGAGACAAAAAUGCUAUCUUUAAGAAGGAUUCCUCAUUUUUGUAGGAAAUUAGUGGCUGAAGUAAAAGGAAUUAAAACUCUUGCAAUUUAAAUCUUUAUAGCAUAUGAUCAAAGGUCAUUUUCCAACUUUUUUUUUUCCCCUCUUUUUUCCCAAAUAUGGAAAGUAAAU